Molecule: ribosomal RNA, 439 nt
Filed under: uncultured Rhodoplanes sp.
Lineage: Bacteria; Pseudomonadati; Pseudomonadota; Alphaproteobacteria; Hyphomicrobiales; Nitrobacteraceae
Description: bacterial SSU rRNA
Rfam family: Bacterial small subunit ribosomal RNA
Source: RNAcentral
GGCAGAUUGGAGAGUACACGUGGGAACGUGCCCUUCAGUUCGGAACAACCCAGGGAAACUUGGGCUAAUACCGGAUACGUCCGUAAGGAGAAAGAUUUAUCGCUGAAGGAUCGGCCCGCGUCUGAUUAGCUUGUUGGUGAGGUAACGGCUCACCAAGGCGACGAUCAGUAGCUGGUCUGAGAGGAUGAUCAGCCUCACUGGGACUGAGACACGGCCCAGACUCCUACGGGAGGCAGCAGUAGGGAAUAUUGGACAAUGGGCGCAAGCCUGAUCCAGCCAUGCCGCGUGGGUGAUGAAGGCCCUAGGGUUGUAAAGCCCUUUCGGCGGGGAAGAUCAUGACGGUACCCGCAGAAGAGGCCCCGGCUAACUUCGCGCCAGCAGACGCGGUAAUACGAACGGGGCUAGCGUUGCUCGGAAUCACUGGGCGUAAAGCGCACGU